This 21-nucleotide non-coding RNA is filed under the name Caenorhabditis elegans. The record is from RNAcentral. Lineage: Eukaryota; Metazoa; Nematoda; Chromadorea; Rhabditida; Rhabditidae.
UACGAUGGAUAUUUUGUUGGU